GAUCCGGAGCUUGCUCCGGUGAAAGUGGCGCACGGGUGAGUAACGCGUGGAUAAUCUGCCCUGGUAUCUGGGAUAACAUCUCGAAAGGGGUGCUAAUACCGGAUAAGCCUACGGACUCUUCGGAGUCUGCAGGAAAAGGUGGCCUCUAUUUAUAAGCUACCGUAUCAGGAUGAGUCCGCGUACCAUUAGCUAGUUGGUGGGGUAAUGGCCCACCAAGGCUACGAUGGUUAGCUGGUCUGAGAGGAUGAUCAGCCACACUGGAACUGAGACACGGUCCAGACUCCUACGGGAGGCAGCAGUGGGGAAUUUUGCGCAAUGGGGGAAACCCUGACGCAGCAACGCCGCGUGAGUGAUGAAGGCUUUCGGGUCGU
Molecule: ribosomal RNA, 371 nt
Filed under: uncultured bacterium
Lineage: Bacteria
Description: bacterial SSU rRNA
Rfam family: Bacterial small subunit ribosomal RNA
Source: RNAcentral